CAGGGAGCCGUUUCCGGGCCGGAGCUCCCGUGGGGGCGGCCAUGUCGCGAUACGGAACGUGAGCUGUGGAGCCGGCCGCGCCCCUGUCCCUGAGGGAGAGAGUCGCCGGGGGAUGUGAGGCCGCUGUCCCUGCGGUGGCUGUGGGGCCUGGGCGCUCCUCCGCUGUAGCCUCCGCAUCUAGGGCCGCAUCCCCCGUUCUCCAUCCCUGGAGACACCGACGGGAGAUCGGACGGACAACAAACCGCCGCUGUCGUGGCGAUGGAGGGGGCGGAGGGCCCGGCCUCACGGGGCUCAGGCGGGGAGCGGGCCCGGGCCCGGGCGGCGAGUGGUCGGGCAGGCCGGGGGAGGCAGGGGCCCACCGCUUGGGGCUGCUCCUGCCUCGGGUGUCGAGGUGCCGCCUUCCAGCGCUCCUCGGUGGCCUCUGCUGGUACCUGGCAGCGACGGCGGCUGAGGUGCACCGGGCCUACAGGUUGCCCGACCCACGGGCUGCUCCGGGACCCCCUGGGCCGUCUGUCUUUGCCUUGAAGGAAACAAAAAAACAAGGGCCGAGACUGAAUGCUGAUGAGGCCAAUUCCAUGGUGGAGAAGCAGCGUUAUUACCGUGGUUAUCCAGGUGCCCAAGUAGGUUUGCCCAGAAUAAAAGAAGAAUCUAGCUGUAAAAAUGAAUUACACCUGCCUAGCAUUCGGAGAUGGCGCGCUCUGUGGCUUUUAUCGCUUUGGGAUCGUUGUCACUCAAGAGUUGUCCUUCUGUUCUCCAGUAAUGCAGCUCUGCAGCAUCUAGUGAGAAAUUGAUUCGUCCCUGACUAAAAUUCAAUACAGUGAGCGCGUUUCUCACAAUCUGGAGGCUCGUCUGGGAUCUCUGACCUACGUCCAGAGCCUCAGACGGGUGAGUAAGCCGGGACAGGAUGGCACACCAUUGCUGAUUGCAGCAAUCCUUGGAUUCUGCCUGUCCACGGUGACAGACCGGUGGUGAUGGCCCAGUGUGGACCAAAGAGGGGUCCCAGGGAUAACAGCAGCAGCCAAUAAUCAUUGUGCACAAGACCCAGGAGGUUCCAAUGCCAAGGGCUCAAAAUGGAUUAGGAUUUGUGAAUGUGCCCCUCACCAACACAGAAGUACAAGGAACUUUAAGAAAGAGACAAAGACAUUUUUGGAAGAUCCCCUAGGUUUGUCAGAACAAUUAGACCAAUUCUUGGGUCCGAAUGUAUAUAACUGGGAAGAAAUGCAAUCCCUCAUGGGGACUCUGUUUAUCCCUGAGGAAAAACAAAUGAUUCGGGUAGCAGGAAUGAGAAUAUGGGAAAGGGACCUGGGGAUCUCUCCAGAUGAAAUAAUGUUUGGACUCCCCUACAUGGGCAAUAGGGAAAGGAUUCUAGUCACGGAACAAGGAGAGUCUUAUGGUCACAAGUACGUUUUGACCAUUGUAAAGACAUUAGAGCAACUCUGAGAGAAAGGGAGACUCCCACAAACCACUCCAUUAGACUUUAAAAUACACAAUAUCCAAAUAAGAGAUUAGGUAUUAAUAAAACCAUGGAAAAAAGAAACUUGAAGACCUACCUGGGCAGGAGCCUUCCAGGUGCUGCUAACCACCAAAACAGCGAUUCGAACAAAAGACAAAGGGUGUGCCCACAUAACACGGGUAAAAGGACCAGUAACACCACCCGAGGAUUGGGUGGUAGAGACACACAAAGACCCCUUGAAAUUAACCACGAGGAAGAAGUCUCAUGUUCUGGUCUUGACAGGUGAAGGUUCCAAAGAGUUCUCAGAAGAUGCGUAAGAUUCGAUGCUGCUUUUUGGGAGCAACAGCCAGCGAAAGCCCCAGAAGCACCUUCAGACUAAGGCAGCAAAACUCCUCGACUCUGCUGCUAUCUUAAUUGUUGCAUAUAUAUGUGGCUUAAGUGUAACAAUGUUAGUAAUCUAGGUCCCCAUGGCAAACAGGAGCAGUACCUCUCCCAAGACCUUGAUCUUUGGUGUAUCCAAUGUGGGUAUAAAACCCCAAUAGAUAAGUGUAAAUGGAUCAGAUAUUAUCGUUGUAGAACCCACCGAGAAUUAAUGUAGACCAGCUUGAUGUGACAAAGGUUAUAAAACAGAAAGAAAAAGAAUUAAAAAUAUAAACCAAGAGUAUAUACCAUAAGGCAAAAAGAGUUGGGAUUCCCCACUCUUGAGCAGAACUUGUUUUUAAAUCUAGCAACAGAAAUAGCUAAAGAAUUGAAUGUGACUGAUUGCUGCGUCUGUGGGGGACCUUUAAUGACUGAAGAGUGGCCAUGGAGAGGCACAAGUUUAAGUCCUUUUGAAAUCCUGGAAUGGAAUGAUACGCUCACCAUGAGAGGAAAAAGGAGACCUGAUGGGUGAAUGUUAAGUUCCACAGUAAUUGGAAAAGUUUGUUUGACCUGGGACACAGGGAACUUUACAGAUGGAAUGGGAGACACACCACGUCACUAUGGCUUAAAAGUAGAUGCAAAUUCUACUCGAACUUGGUUUCCUCUGAAACCAAGGUCAUAUCUAACAUUUCAAAAUGAAACCAAGAAUUGUACCCAGGUAAAAAACAAUUACCUUUUUAGGUGUAAGAAAGAGGGUAUGAAUCCAUUCUCAGGAAUAAAAGACAUCUUGAAUUAUUGAGAUAAUACAGAGAAUACCAUGAAAGGGUUCUGUGAAAACCUCGACGAGGCCACUCAAAUUCUUGCUAAAAUAGAAGACAAAUAUAAAGCACUUCAGCAAAAUUAGAUAAGGAAAAGAAAAAGGGGGGAAUUGCAAUAAGUAAUUUAGGAGGAAAAUUGUGCUUCAGCUAAAAUAUGUAUGUGCUUGCUGUGCAGUCGGGAAAUGUACAGCAAGCAAAGCAAGCAUAUGUAAGAAAAGAGUUAAGGCACAGGAGGAGAAAUCCCCUGUGUGGCUCCCAGCGCUGUAAAUAAAUGUUCUUUGC
Molecule: long non-coding RNA, 2913 nt
Organism: Calidris pugnax (ruff)
Lineage: Eukaryota; Metazoa; Chordata; Aves; Charadriiformes; Scolopacidae
Exons: 4
Source: RefSeq, a predicted model, not a curated record